Long non-coding RNA from Acipenser ruthenus (sterlet), 404 nucleotides. RefSeq lists it as uncharacterized. The record is from RefSeq and is a predicted model, not a curated record. Lineage: Eukaryota; Metazoa; Chordata; Actinopteri; Acipenseriformes; Acipenseridae. The transcript has 3 exons.
AUGUUUUUUUUUUUCUUUUUUUUUUCAAAUUAAAUUACUUUAAUACUUUAACCAUGCCUGAGUUAAAGCAACACUGACCCAGCGUGCCAGAAAUGAUCUGUGGCACUGCUUCUCUACUAUAAUUCAUCUGCUGCUUGUCAACGAGAUGUGCCUUCUCCAUACACCCACCUUUGAAAAUAUAAAAAAUCAAUGCGGUGAUGGGUUUGGAAAUAUGCCAUGGACCAAUUAAUCUGCAGGGUCUGGAUUAAGUAAACAAUAACACAAGGUGCACAGAGUCUGUCCAUGUCUGCUUUUGGAUGGAGAGCUCAAUUUAUGCCUGGUGAUGACCAAAGACUCCAGAGCAAUCUAGUCUCAGAGUCUGUCUAGAAGCAUGGUCUUGUGUGCACUGGAAAACAAAGCAUAUC